ACUUGGACACCUUGUUCUAUAAGGAGCUCUCUCUUUUCUUUCUUGUGUCUGUGUUUCGGUUCCAUUCUGGGUACAACAGUUAGAGACUCCCGCAAUCUAUGGAGCAGCAUGCCUGCAGAGGUUCCGGGGCCUCUCUCAUGCUGGAGUCAUGCAGGGUUUGCCCUGCAAAGCCUUUUAGGGUAUCUUUUCACGGCAUUAACUUUCCUCAACUGUAAACUCUGUUAAUAUAGUAUAAGAAGGAUUUAAUUUCCAGAAGGUAAGCAUUUUUCUUACUAAUUAGUCAUAUCCCUUCCAUCCGGAGGAGCGUUUGGGCCAGAACGGCCCAGUAUUUAGCCAAAUGCCCGUGGUGUGGCCUCCUCACCAGUGAAGCUGUGGCCCACCCGGGAGAAUAAGCCAAGGAACGCUUGAGAAGAGCAGGCACCUCCAAACACCCAAACUCCUCUCAUCUUUCUAAAAACCAUGCCACAUUCCUGACAUUUUACAUUACGGCUAAUCAGCCU
RNAcentral lists this long non-coding RNA (500 nucleotides) under Pan troglodytes (chimpanzee). Its description in RNAcentral is "long non-coding RNA NONPTRT013382". The record is from RNAcentral. Lineage: Eukaryota; Metazoa; Chordata; Mammalia; Primates; Hominidae.